GAUGAACGCUGGCGGCGUGCCUAAUACAUGCAAGUAGAACGCUGAAGCUUGGUGCUUGCACCGAGCGGAUGAGUUGCGAACGGGUGAGUAACGCAUAGGUAACCUGCCUGGUAGCGGGGGAUAACUAUUGGAAACGAUAGCUAAUACCGCAUAACAGUAGAUGUUGCAUGACAUUUGCUUGAAAGGGGCAAUUGCUCCACUACCAGAUGGACCUGCGUUGUAUUAGCUAGUUGGUGAGGUAACGGCUCACCAAGGCGACGAUACAUAGCCGACCUGAGAGGGUGAUCGGCCACACUGGGACUGAGACACGGCCCAGACUCCUACGGGAGGCAGCAGUAGGGAAUCUUCGGCAAUGGACGGAAGUCUGACCGAGCAACGCCGCGUGAGUGAAGAAGGUUUUCGGAUCGUAAAGCUCUGUUGUAAGAGAAGAACGAGUGUGAGAGUGGAAAGUUCACACUGUGGCGGAACUACCAGAA
Molecule: ribosomal RNA, 476 nt
Filed under: Streptococcus sp. oral taxon 066
Lineage: Bacteria; Bacillati; Bacillota; Bacilli; Lactobacillales; Streptococcaceae
Description: bacterial SSU rRNA
Rfam family: Bacterial small subunit ribosomal RNA
Source: RNAcentral